This is a long non-coding RNA of Contarinia nasturtii (swede midge), 2003 nucleotides long. RefSeq lists it as uncharacterized. NCBI's taxonomy places the organism in Eukaryota, Metazoa, Arthropoda, Insecta, Diptera, Cecidomyiidae. The transcript is spliced from 6 exons. The record is from RefSeq and is a predicted model, not a curated record.
CUCCAAUUCUGCAGUUCCUUUCAAUUAAGUGCCAAAGUAACUUGCUUUUAUAUUGGUGGAAAAAUUAUUUCUUCAUCGACACGAUGUAUACACCAAGCGCACCUCCAGCCUAUGAAGAUGUUUUAAAUCAAAUGCCGAACGACACCUCACACAACUACCAAAUCGAUGUGCCAACUCAAACGCAACCCCAACUUUCAAUUCCCAUUCAAUCUCAACGUUUCAAUUCAUCGCCAAGUGCAGACAUUACAUCAAAUCGAAUUGCAAUUGUCAGCAGAACAAGUGGUGGUUUUCAAAGCAGACUCUGUACCGGAUGCCAUUUGCCAUUGCGAACCCGAAUUGGUUAUCGUGCAACGGGAAAAACACACUUGACUUUUUUGCUGUGCUGCAUCUUUUGUUGCUUUCUAUGCGCACCAUACGUUUAUUGCGUGGACUCAUGCCGUGAACCUCAAGUGUAUUGUCGAGCGUGUGGCAGUAUGGUGUUGCUGUGAUUUAUUUUUGGUUGAAAAGCUUGCGCAAAUUAUAACAAACAAAUUAAGGUUUGAAAUUAAAAAAAAAAAAUAGAUUCAGCAUAAGAUAAAAUGUUGGCAUAAGAAAUUUGUUCAUAAUGACGCUUGACUAAAUUAAAAUAAAGUACUGCGUGGUAAUCUUCAAAUCACACUUAAUGCUUUUAAAAUGGGGUAUUAACAUUUGAAACGUUCUUGUUGUUUUUGUGUAGGACUGACAUAUGUAUUGGAAUAUAAGGGAGAAGACGAUUAGUGCCUUAUUUAGAUUUCUUUCUAAAAAGUAUUUACAAGUAUUAUCACUUUACUUGAACAAAAAAAGAAGAAAAAAUGAUGUUGUGAACGCAAACGUGGGCGGUUAAAAACUAUUUUACAAUUGGUUGAAAAGAAUUCACUUGAUUUAAGAAAAAAAAAACAUUGAUUUCAAAAAAUAUUCAUUUUCACACUUUUGAAGUUCAAGACUGAUUUUUUUUUGUCCAAUCAGUGAAGGUUUCUCGUUAGCCAGCAUUGUCUUAGCCUUGGUUUACACCAACAACUGGUGUAUGCCAAUCGUUAGCCAGCUAUCUGUGUGACUACGUACGAUUCUCACUGACGUUUAUGAGUGACAUUCAACUCAGUGUAUAUAUGUAUGUAUUAGUGCUGGUUUACACAUUCGUUAGCCAGCUAAUGUGCCCAUCACUGCUUCCAAUACAAAUAACACAAUUUUAGUUAAAACCUAUUUCAGUAAAUUGCAUUUUCUGCAGUUUGGUGAAGCUACCAAAUAACAGUUUUACAAAGUAGGCAAUUUAAAUUCAACCAUCAAUUUCGUCAAUUGCUUAGUCGGAAUUUAUUUAUCGUAAAUUAAACGGUGGUCAAACGUCCGAAACAAUAAUUUGCUUUAGAAAUCCACAGGCUUAAUACACAUUUUUGAAAAAAUAUUGGAAGUUAAUCAUUCAUUUCUGCUGGAGUAUCAUUAAACAUUGUGAGUUUAGUGAUCAUGUAUGCUCCCAGUGCACCACCACCACCACCAUCACCAUCAUAUGAAGAGAUCCAAAAAACUCUACCGAUCAACGUUCUGUACAAUCAAGCACAGUCUCAAUCUCAGUUUCAGUCACAAAUUCAAAACCAACAACCGGUUUAUGUACAAUUUCUAGUGCCGACAGCAGUUCAAGUUCAGUCCGUACAUAAAACUUCGAGCCCAAUCGCAAAAGGAAAUAAUAUUAAUAAAAAUGUGCACAAAAAGCUAUGCACGAGUUGUCAAUCACCGCUAAUGACGCAAAUCGGUUAUCGAAGCACAUGAAAAACGCAUAUCGCAUUUCUCUGGUGUUGUCUUGUUAGUUUUUUUCUUUGUGCACCUUGUGUUUACUGCAUGAACUCGUGUCGCGAACCUAGAACCUAUUGUACCACUUGCGAGCAAAUGGUUUUGGCAUAAUAUCGUUCAAAACGAUUAAAAUAAUCCAAUAAACUUAAAAGCCCCGUCAAUUUCAAUCAAAUGUUAUUUUUAAUAAAAUUAUGUCAAUCGUA